UAAGUUAGUCUAAAUGAAAAGAAAUGAGUUCAUUCAACUCAAAACAAUGAAACAGUUCAUUUUACUUAGAAAUAUGUCAGUGUUAUGAACUCAGAAUAAAAAGAAAGUUCUAAAUACUCAUAAUAGUUAUUUUUAAUUGAACUACUUAGUUUAAUUUAAGUUUGUCCUACUCAAACCACUUAAGUAUUUUGAGCGUUAGGGUUUACAGUGUACUCUUAUGGGCUGAUUCUCUUUAGUAGACAAUUGUAGUCCAAUUCCUGAGCAAAUGACUAUAUAAGCCGGUACUUUUUAGUGAAUCAAAAAGUGUUCCAGUGCAGUUUGAUUCCAGAUCAAAUGAGUCUUAUGAGUUGAUUCUUUUUUAGGAAAUCACACAGAUAAAAUGUACUUGACCAUAAGACUUAAGUCAUUGUAGUUAAUGACUGUUCAUACGGCAAUGUAUACUAUAAUUGAAGAUAAUGUAUGCAUUAUGCGUUUUGUCUGUAUUUUGAAACGGUCCCAUUAUUUGCAAUGAAAGCACAUUUCUUUUUCCCAAAUAAAUGUUGCUCAAAAGUAUUAAAAGAACUGUUAAUGGAACAGUUAAAGAACUAACUCAAUGCUUACCUCAUAAUAGUCAUAUGCUUUCUUCAGCCACAAAAACUCACAAGCUGCUAUUAGUCUCACAGUCUGAGAGAAAGUGUUGAACAGUGACAGCACUCUUUUUUUUUUUUUCUGGAGUGUGUAUUAUUAUAUUUGUAGAGGGCAGUGUUACUUGUGUAGUACUGUAUAUUUAAAAAGCAUUUACAUACAGUAAUAAUAUGUCUGCAGAUGGACAAGCAGUUAUUGAAACACAUUAUGUGCUUUUUACCUCUUUUAUCUAUCUAAUCAAUGUUAUUUACAAGGGUUUACAAAGGGUACAGUUCAUCAAAAUUCCAUAAAAGGAUUGUGAAUAGCAGUUUAUCACACAAUGUCAUCAGUUGUGUUGUUUUAUUUUCUUGUAUUCUGUUCAUGUUUAUUUUGUUUUUGUUUCACAUAUUUUUUUCAGUGAAAAGUACUCAUGUACGGUUCUGAGAACAUGACAAAUUGUUGCUCAGACUCAGAGAAGAUAACACGGGAGGGAUCCUUCCCCUUCCUGUCUCCUCUGAGUCGCUAAGCCAACCGUAUUUUAAGCUGCAAAACUGGAUGGAAAUUCACAGAGGCACUGGCGAAUUGUUCUUUUCGAUUUAAAUAAUCUGGAAACAUAUUCUUAUCUGGAUUAUAUUUCAAUUCUCUUCAAAUCCUGCACUCAAGGUUACUAUGGGUCUGUCUAUGCCAUCUGGGUGAACGUGUUCAAAAUGCUGAGCCCGGCUCCGACUGCCAAAACAGGCAACAGAUGGAGGGCGCAAACAACCAAGAGCCUGUGUGCUUUAGAGGAGGAUUAAGAAAAAACUCAGCGCCUGCACUUGUAUAUUCUUACCAUUUUGAGCAAAACCAUCAUGUAAAAAUUCCAGAUAUGCUUCCGCAGACCUCAGAUGAGCUAAUCUGCUGCGGACCCCCCUGAUUCCUGAGCUCCACCACCCACCAGGACUUUCCACAUUCCCCGCCUUUAAGUCAGCCAGCCAUUGACCAAUGAGACAAAAGUCCCCUAAUCCCUGAAUCAGGCCCAGUUCCUUGUGAAUGAUUCAAUUUCCCUCGUAUUGUAUCCAAACAAGGACCCGACAUGUUCCAAGCCCCUGUGUCCUUGUUCUUUGGCGUCAUGAUUCCCGGUUUUACCCCCUUUUUGACAGUGAAGAGAUCCCUCAGGGGUGGCAGUAUAGGAACAAUUUGAAAACAUGUUAUUCCCUGCUCAACCUUGCAGCCAGGGAAAAUAUCCUCUCUAAAGUGGACAAAGCAAAGAGUUAUGACCAUCUAUUUUGUUUUUAUGUUCCUGUGCUCCACUUUUCUUACUGAUUCUAGACAAUGAUGAUCAUUGUAUUUUAAUUAAGAAAAGGUAAACAUAUGGACAUCAUCUCAUAGUAUUCAACUGAAUCCCCUGGUUUGGUCAUACAGAGGACACUCACAUCUUCUGCUUGGACCUUUAGACAGUCUUUACCAGAGGCAGUUUCACAGAGCAGAAGCACAUGGAUUCAGGUUCAAAAAUAAUUGGCCUUGGGUUGACCGGAUUGUUGAAUUACCUCCCAUUACAGGAAAUCUGCCUUGAUGUAUAUAAAUCACAUAUGUCUUACAGAUGCUCACUCACAAACCCUGAAGCAUCGAAAAGUCAAUGUCAAAGACAAUCCAGUCGACAUUUUCAUACACUACUUAUAACCGCCAAGGAAAUUGAAGCAUACGGUGAAAAGGAUAAGAUGGGAAAGUAUUGACUUCCAAGCAACUUUCAAGUGUCAAGCUAUUUUUUGUGACUAAUGCAAAACAAGACCAACUUCUAUAAAAUACGUCCUUGUAAUUACUGAUAAAUAAUCGAUUCGUGAAGGCAACUGAAGUAAAGUGCAAUCAAUUGGGAGUAAUUGACCAGCUGUUUCAGUUUAACUGGGGUAAUUUUAGAUAUAAUUGUGCCAACACCUAUAUAACCUCAUGACCCUGAAAAGUCUAGUAAUUGACCAAUUGAUGAGAAGAAUCAAUAGAAGACAUGUGCUACCACUCAGAGCUAAUAGUGCUAUCAUUUGCUUUAUAGGCAUAGGACCAUCUGGGAUCAUGCAGUCCUUGCCCGUGGAGAUUUGGGCUGAACUUCUCAGACCUUUGACUUCUUGUAACAUGAUUCAUUGGGUUCAGACAAGUGCAACUGCCUAUUAACUCUGCAAAAAGGGUUUUCUUCUUUCAUUUUUAAUGAGCAAUGGUGCACUACUUCAAGUCAGCCCGCUGAAGAACUCAAUGGUUGUCCUUCAUUCUUGGUUGAGUUGGUUAGAACCUCAGCAUGUGCAGCCUCACUGUAAUUUUUAGCUUCCUUUGGUCUUAUAUAAAGAAAAGCAAUAAGGUUGUACUGCAUGCAUUUGAUUUUGGCUUCCAUUUUUAGGAAUCAUACGCAUAUCCUGAAGUAAGUUUCGGGUAUACACUUGCAUGACCCAUAAUAAUAUGUGCCUGAGCCAUGCAGUGCAUACUUUAUGAAUUCAAAACAACCUCAUUUGUUCUUACUUAAGUGGAUUGUCUUCAUUGCUGUCUGCUGUUCUGAGGGGAUUGUAUAAUAAUAAAUAAAAGAAGAUCCUCUUGAUUCAUCUUUAUUCUCUGUAAUUUACGUCUCGCCAUCUCUAUGCAAUGGUAUCGGCACUUUUCUUUGAGCCUUUCGUGUUAUCCCACAUCACAUUUCCAUCUCAAUGAACUGAUAACACACAUAAUCCAGACUUUAUAACACCACAUUCAACAUUCAUCCUUUAUAGUGUAAGAUUUUUUCCCUUCAGCUUUCAAGACCAAAAGACUUUAAAAUGCACUGAAAGGAACAUGUUAUUACAGCAAUAAAUCUUACCAUCUAAGCAAAGUACAAUAAGCAUCUCAUAAUUCAUUACAAAGAAUAAUGAACCUGUUAUAUUUGGUCAUUCAUGAAAUAUUUUAAUUUCAAACAUCUGUUGAGGAGUGUCAGCCUCAUGUAGUUAAUAUCAGAGUUGCAUUAACACAAGAUUUGUAGCCACCAUUGUCCAUUGUGAACAGAACAGACAGGAACAAUAUGUUGACAUGUAGGAAACGAAGUAUAAAAUACACUAUUUCCAUUUAUAUGAUGAGAAACAGCUGUAGAUCCAACUGUGACAUUUGGCACUAAGAUUGGACUAAAAUUAUGACCUAAAUUCCACUUGGAUCCAAUUCUCUGAUUGAUGUUAUUUGUACUGUAUCCCUCUCAAACUAGUGUAUAUUUUCAGAGAUAAUGCAUAUUAAAUCUUCCAUGCAUUUAAUAGCCCAAAUAAAAACUCUGUGGAGAAUCUGCUGGUGUUCCCUGCUGUGUUGAAGUGCCUCCUACAGACAGGGCACCCUAUGGCCUAUGGUAUUUCUGCCCUAAGCGCAGAACACCACGCUGGGCUGCUGUUGUUGAGGUUGGGCUGCUGGGGAGAUGGUAAUGACGCCCUUUACUUGGAGGGCCUUGGGAUCUCCUGCUCCCAGUUCUUUCAGACUUCUGCAGGCUUCUUGACCCCUGGUGGGCUUUAUAGAAGCUUUCUACAGCUCAGAUGCCCUCCUUUCUGGCUGAAGAUCAUCUAAAGUUAGCUGGUUAGUCUGCUUCUUUGAGCUUGGUAACAACACCCCACAUCUCAACAUCACUGUGGAUUGUACACCAAUAAAUCAUGAAUACAUUAUUCAUAGAUGAUAUCAGAACUGAAUUAUUAUAGCAUUACCAUGUUAUCAGAUGAGAUUGGAAUGUUCUUUUUUUCUUUUUAGAUCUUUUAGCUUUAUAUUUUCUCUCAAGACUGCAUUAGCGUCUGGCUUGCAGAUGAGAUGGGGAAAUUAGUAUUUAUGACCAGUUACGUGAAAUCCGCAGCAUGGGGAAAUUUGCCAAAAAUAUUGAUGACUCAUCCUGCAUUAGACACAUUUUUGUCGGAAUGAGAAUGUCCCUCCCACUAAUGCCAUCUGUAACAAACUGGUAAGCAGCAAAAUCAUGGUACAUGAGAGUGAUAUAAAUUUUAAAAAACGUCCCACAAUUAAUAUUGUGACUUUUAUAUUGUCAUUGUACUAAAGAAGCCAAUUAUUAGAUUUUCACAAUUAUCUCAC
This is a long non-coding RNA of Megalobrama amblycephala (Wuchang bream), 4641 nucleotides long. RefSeq lists it as uncharacterized. The transcript has 3 exons. NCBI's taxonomy places the organism in Eukaryota, Metazoa, Chordata, Actinopteri, Cypriniformes, Xenocyprididae. The record is from RefSeq and is a predicted model, not a curated record.